UGGGCAGUGUCCUUGAGUUGUUUUUUGACACUCUUACCUGGGCUUCUCUGUGUGCAUUUGCGUCUGGCCUGGAGUAAGCAGGUCCGACCCCUCCUUCUUUACAGCUUAGUGUUAUUCUGGCAUUUGGUUAAGCUGGCUUAAUCUGUUUAAUGUUAUCAGUACAUUUUAAAUAGGGGCAUUGAAAUUUACUCCCACCACCAGGGCUUUUUUGGGGGAUGCCUGGGCCUUUAAAACACUAGCCAAACUCUAAUUAAUUCUCAAAUCACUGCCAGGAGUUCUUGCUCCUGGCUGCAGGCCCAGGCCCCAAGGUCUCCUUCUUGGGGUCACAAACAGCAGUAAGGAAGAGGAAUAUAUAGCAACUCAGGGCCUGGGAAUUGUGGGGCAAUCCGUUCUUAGGGACUGGAUACUUCUGGCUGGCUGAGUAUAGUACUAGCUGCCUCCCCACCAGGUUCCGAGUAGUGUCUGAGACUCUGCUCUGCAGGGCCUAGGGUAGCGCUGGGAGUGUAGAAGUGGCCUGCCCUUAACUGUUUUCACUAAACAGCUUUUUCUAAGGGGAGAGCAAGGGGGAGAGAUCUAGAUUGGGUGAGGGGGACGGGGAUGUCAGGGAGGCAAGUGUGUUGUGUUACUGUGUCAAUAAACUGAUUUAAAGUUG
This 652-nucleotide long non-coding RNA is filed under the name Homo sapiens (human). RNAcentral's name for it is "non-protein coding lnc-RBPMS2-3:1". Lineage: Eukaryota; Metazoa; Chordata; Mammalia; Primates; Hominidae. The record is from RNAcentral.